This is a long non-coding RNA of Thalassophryne amazonica, 2026 nucleotides long. RefSeq lists it as uncharacterized. The record is from RefSeq and is a predicted model, not a curated record. Lineage: Eukaryota; Metazoa; Chordata; Actinopteri; Batrachoidiformes; Batrachoididae. The transcript is spliced from 2 exons.
GGCAAAAAAACAAGCUUUUUGAAACUUUACCAAAUGAGACAACUGCUUCAAAAAAUGACUGAAUGUUCCAAUAAAAUUCAAAACACUAAAUGAAACAAUUACUUUUAAAAUGAUUCCAUCUUCAAAAUGCUUAUAAGAUAAAAAAGCAACUGUUUCUGAAAAUGAUUCACUGCUUCCAAAAGCUCAAAACACAAAAUGAGACAACUUGUUCUGAAAAUAAAUGUAUUUUGAAGAAAUCAUGAUUCAAAUCAAAUCCAGCUUCAAAUCUAAGUCACAGUCCAUCUGUAAAAAAAAAACUGGUGUAAUGGUGUCACUGUCCAAAUAUUUAUGGACCUCACAGUAAAAGCAAUAAGCAAGGACCCAAGCAUGUCAAAAAAGCUGCAAUUUCAGGUGACUGAAGCGUGAACAUGAAAUUACAUCAUGUGCAGAGUGAACAUGACCAUGUUACAAAGAGUGCAAACAUGAGUGUUCCUGUCAGUCAAAAACAUCAAAACUCUAAUGUAAAAAAUUAUAAUUUUAUAUCUUUGUGUGGGAAAACCUGAGCACACCAUCAAGUUAAAGUAUUAAAAACACAACUGUAAUGAAUUAUGAAUUAAUAAUAAUUAAUUAUUCAGGAAGGUUUAGGAUGUGGUCUCCUUGUUUAGGAUAUACAUUAAUUAUUCAGGAAGGUUUAGGAUGUGGUCUCCUUGUUUAGGAUAUACAUUAAUUAUUCAGGAAGGUUUAGGAUGUGGUCUCCUUGUUUAGGAUAUACAUUAAUUAUUCAGGAAGGUUUAGGAUGUGUUUCUCCUUGUUUAGGAUAUACAUUAUUUUACCAGUAAACACUAUUCAUUGCCUGGUAGAAAGCUGACCUUUGACCUAAAUGCCGUUGACCUUCACCCAAAUUCACCACCUUUGGCUGACCUUGCCAAGGCACUUUCAGAAUGCACCUCCAUGACUGUGCCAUGUUUGGUCCAAAUUGGUUUUAAUGAAUGACCCCAGUGAUCUUGACCUCUGUCAAAAUAAACUCUUUAUAGGCAACCUAGUGAUGACCUUUAUACAUAUUCCAAGUUUGGUAGAAAUCAGCCAAAGGCCCUGGGAGGGUGAGGCCAGUAAACACACAGAUAGACAUGACCUUGACCUCAAUGAUAGACCUUCGGCAAAUUUGACCUCAUCUCAGGAAUUCCAGAAUCCACUCAGCCAAGUCAAAAUGAAAAAUCAGUAUUUUGACCUUUGACAGCAAUGACCUUGACCCCAGUGAGCCAGAGCAGGUGGUUCUGUAGAAUAAGAGUUAGACUGGCAACUGGCGUUCGAUUAUACUGUAGAUCCUUGGACCUCAAUGAGUGACCUUUAGCAAAUCUGAUGCCACCUAAACAUCUGUGAAGCCCACCUACAUACACUCUCCGGCCACUUUAUUAGGUACACCUUGAUAGUACCGGGUUGGACCCCCUUUUGCCUUCGGAACUGCCUUAAUUCUUUGUGGCAUAGAUUCAACAAGGUGUUGGAAACAGUCCUCAGAGAUGUUGGUCCAUAUUGACACGACAGCAUCAUGCAGUCGUCCAUUCAACCAGUCUGCCCCUUCUCUUCUGACCUUUGACAUCAAUUAGAUAUUUUCAUCCACACAAUGCUGCUCACUGGACAUCUUCUCUUUUUUGGACCAUUCUUUGUAAACCAUUGAGAUGAUUGUGUCUGAAAAUCCCUGUAGAUCAGCAGUUUCUGAAAUACUUAGACCAGCCUGUCUGGCACCAACAACCAUGCCAUGUUCAAAGUCACUUAAAUCCCCUUUCUUCCUCAUUCUGAUGCUCAGUUUGAACUUCAGCAAGUCGUCUUCACCACAUCUAGACGCCUAAAUGCAUUAGGUGCCAUGUGAUUGGCUGAUUAGCUAUUUGUGUUAACAAGCAAUUGUACAGGUGUACCUAAUAAAAUGGCCGGUGAGUGCAUGUGUCAAGUUUGGCCCAAAUUGGAGAGAAAAAAAUAGCCAAUAUUGUUUCCCAUGUACGAUGGCAUUUUAGGGCCACAUUGAGUUUUUUUUUUUUUUUUCGAGAAUAAA